This 407-nucleotide ribosomal RNA is filed under the name uncultured bacterium. RNAcentral's name for it is "partial 16S ribosomal RNA". It matches the Rfam family "Bacterial small subunit ribosomal RNA", at positions 30 to 526 of the family's 1533-position model. The record is from RNAcentral.
AUUGAACGCUGGCGGCAUGCCUAACACAUGCAAGUCGAACGGAGCGGCGGACGGGUGAGUAAUGUCUAGGAAUGUGCCUGGUAGUGGGGGAUAACUUCCGGAAAGGGGAGCUAAUACCGCAUACUAUCAGAUGAGCCUAUGUCGGAUUAGCUAGUUGGUGGGGUAAAGGCUUACCAAGGCGACGAUCCGUAACUGGUUUGAGAGGAUGACCAGUCACACUGGGACUGAGACACGGUCCAGACUCCUACGGGAGGCAGCAGUGGGGAAGAUUGGACAAUGGGCGAAACCCUGAUCCAGCCAUGCCGCGGGUGCGAAGAAGGCCUUCGGAUUGUAAAGCACUUUAAGUUGGAAGGCGUUACCUGCAGAAUAAGCACCGGCUAACUACGUGCCAGCAGCCGCGGUAAUAC